GACGAACGCUGGCGGCGUGCUUAACACAUGCAAGUCGAACGGAGAGGCCCUGCUUUUGUGGGGUGCUCGAGUGGCGAACGGGUGAGUAACACGUGAGUAACCUGCCCUUGACUUUGGGAUAACUUCAGGAAACUGGGGCUAAUACCGGAUAGGAGCUCCUGCUGCAUGGUGGGGGUUGGAAAGUUUCGGCGGUUGGGGAUGGACUCGCGGCUUAUCAGCUUGUUGGUGGGGUAGUGGCUUACCAAGGCUUUGACGGGUAGCCGGCCUGAGAGGGUGACCGGCCACAUUGGGACUGAGAUACGGCCCAGACUCCUACGGGAGGCAGCAGUGGGGAAUAUUGCACAAUGGGCGGAAGCCUGAUGCAGCAACGCCGCGUGCGGGAUGACGGCCUUCGGGUUGUAAACCGCUUUCGCCUGUGACGAAGCGUGAGUGAUGGUAAUGGGUAAAGAAGCACCGGCUAACUACGUG
Molecule: ribosomal RNA, 468 nt
Filed under: uncultured bacterium
Lineage: Bacteria
Description: partial 16S ribosomal RNA
Rfam family: Bacterial small subunit ribosomal RNA
Source: RNAcentral